CCCAUUGAAGAUGAGGAGCUGAACCAGUACAUCAUGCAAGGAUUGGACGUGGAGUUGAAUCGCCGAUCGUGUCGGCCAUCCUCGCGCGUAUCGAAGGAACAUCCUUCUCCGAGCUCUUCUCCCAGCUUCUCAGCUUCGAAC
Small nucleolar RNA from Panicum hallii, 141 nucleotides. RefSeq annotates it as small nucleolar RNA Z247. NCBI's taxonomy places the organism in Eukaryota, Viridiplantae, Streptophyta, Magnoliopsida, Poales, Poaceae. The record is from RefSeq and is a predicted model, not a curated record. The transcript has a single exon.